AAGUCGUAACAAGGUUUCCGUAGGUGAACCUGCGGAAGGAUCAUUAACACAAAAACAAUCCCAUAUCCACCCCUUUUUAUAACGAACUCUGGUUUAUUACCAUUGUCUCUUCUUUAUCCAACUUUUAUUUUUACCCCAACUCUAUAACCAAAAUGCAAUAGACUGAUAUUUAUUUAUCUUUAUAAUCUUAUAAAUGAUAUUUAAAACAACUCUUAGCAACGGAUAUCUUGGCUCUC
RNAcentral lists this unclassified non-coding RNA (236 nucleotides) under fungal sp. Its description in RNAcentral is "partial internal transcribed spacer region". The stretch from base 1 to 46 matches the Rfam family "Eukaryotic small subunit ribosomal RNA", at positions 1786 to 1831 of the family's 1831-position model. The record is from RNAcentral. Lineage: Eukaryota; Fungi.